GCGUGAGUGAGAAGGUUUUCGGAUCGUAAAACUCUGUUGGUAGAGAAGAACGUUGGUGAGAGUGGAAAGCUCAUCAAGUGACGGUAACUACCCAGAAAGGGACGGCUAACUACGUGCCAGCAGCCGCGGUAAUACGUAGGUCCCGAGCGUUGUCCGGAUUUAUUGGGCGUAAAGCGAGCGCAGGUGGUUUAUUAAGUCUGGUGUAAAAGGCAGUGGCUCAACCAUUGUAUGCAUUGGAAACUGGUAGACUUGAGUGCAGGAGAGGAGAGUGGAAUUCCAUGUGUAGCGGUG
This 291-nucleotide ribosomal RNA is filed under the name uncultured Lactococcus sp. RNAcentral describes it as "partial 16S rRNA". It matches the Rfam family "Bacterial small subunit ribosomal RNA", at positions 399 to 683 of the family's 1533-position model. Lineage: Bacteria; Bacillati; Bacillota; Bacilli; Lactobacillales; Streptococcaceae. The record is from RNAcentral.